Molecule: transfer RNA, 77 nt
Filed under: Clostridium sp.
Lineage: Bacteria; Bacillati; Bacillota; Clostridia; Eubacteriales; Clostridiaceae
Also listed under: 4 other names
Description: tRNA-Ile
Rfam family: tRNA
About the family: Transfer RNA (tRNA) molecules are approximately 80 nucleotides in length. Their secondary structure includes four short double-helical elements and three loops (D, anti-codon, and T loops).
Source: RNAcentral
GGGCUUGUAGCUCAGGUGGUUAGAGCGCACGCCUGAUAAGCGUGAGGUCGGAGGUUCAAGUCCCCCCAGGCCCACCA